Molecule: ribosomal RNA, 301 nt
Filed under: uncultured bacterium
Lineage: Bacteria
Description: partial 16S ribosomal RNA
Rfam family: Bacterial small subunit ribosomal RNA
Source: RNAcentral
CAGUCGCCACGGUAAUACGAAGGGGGCUAGCGUUGCUCGGAAUGACUGGGCGUAAAGGGCGCGUAGGCGGCGAUCAAAGUCAGGCGUGAAAUUCCUGGGCUCAACCUGGGGGCUGCGUUUGAUACUUGAUUGCUAGAGUGGGGAAGAGGGUCGUGGAAUUCCCAGCGUAGAGGUGAAAUUCGUAGAUAUUGGGAAGAACACCGGUGGCGAAGGCGGCUCACUGGCCCGGUACUGACGCUGAGGCGCGAAAGCGUGGGGAGCAAACAGGAUUAGAUACCCCCGUAGUCCCUGUCUCUUAUAU